GCGGCGCUGUGAGGAGUUAUUGUGCCCGCGCCGGGCAGGGCAGCGCGGCGGGGCGCGGCCGGACCCCCACGCCCGGCCCCCUCUGCGGCUGCCGCCGCGCCCGAGCGGCCCUUUCCGCCGCCUCCCCCGCUCCCGCGGUCGGGCUCGUCUUGGGCUGCCUGCCGGGCCCCCGGCGCCGCGCAAGAUGGUGCCCGCAGAACCAGCGAGGCGGCGACGUGGGCUCGGUGUCCCCGGAGAGCGGGGCUGCUCCGCGGGGACGGCGCCGUCCCGGGUGCCCGAGGUGAAGCUCUCCCUCGCUGCCGAGCCGCCACUGGGUUUCGUUUCCCCCUUCUGAAAAGUGAGGGCAUUCGGGUUAUCACUUGAAAUAACGAAGAUUUAUGGAAAACGGCUCUGAACGCGGUUCACGCGGGCCCGGGAUUUCACCCGAGCGGCGGUGGCCUGAGCACGACGGCGCUGCCGGGAUCUCACACAACCCAGUGCUUGGAGGAGCCGUGCCGGGUUACCGCUCCGCAGCUCCAGGUUGUCCUAAAUCUUCACGUUAGGGCCGGGUCCCUCGACCUCCCGUGUCUCCAGCCGGCAUAGCCCUGAGGGACAUCUGCGCUCGGCUGAGCAGGGACAAGGCCGGACUCUCUGUUCACCCUGUUUGGUAGCUGCUUCUCCCUGAGAAAGGCUGAAAAUCCUCCCUUGCCCAACAGCAGUUUAUAGGGUGGCUGGAACAGCGUAACGACCGUCUUUCCAUCCAACCCGGUCAUUACUACUGCGCCAUAAACGAAGCAAGGAAGAGACCUGUGUUGGUCUACAUACGAUUCCAAUCGUGGAACGAAUCAGCUGUUGAAAGACAUUACUACGGCCAAGCUGAAGAGUGAAUGAUGGGACUGGAACCGAGCAAACGCUUCUGCAUUCUGGACAGGACUCCAGCAGUGAAGACGUAUAGAUGGCUGAAGUCAGGCAUAGCAAAGGUAAUGACAGCAGAGCUGGAAGCAGAACCAAGGUGCCCCAAGUGCUUCAAAGAUCCGUUUUAGAGGAAAUCAUGUUCUUCAUCCCAGCCAUCAGAAGAUCACAAAGGAUCCAAACAGCAGGGAAGGGAGAUGCUUUGUAUUUCUGGAUAUCGAAUCAAACCAUAUCAGCUACUGCAUGAAGCAAAACAGCUGUGUGUACAACAGUAUUCUGUCUAGCACAACAUUUCCCAGCCUGUGAGCCUGGCCCACAAGAGGAUCGGGCUUCCUCCCUUGGGGAGAGGCACCGUAGUUUCUGGAGGAUCUCUGGAGGAUGAGAAAACAGCAGUGGCGUGGAGUUCCUCGCUUUCUUUUGACUUACCUCCACUGUUUUAGGAGGAACAGCUGGGGACACCAGCAGGCACUGGGCAGAAAGAGUGGACAGACUUGGGCUUCUACUGCAGGAAAAGCUCCUUUGGAGAGAGAAAUGGGCACUUGAAUCCUUGAGUGUACUGGCCUUUCUGCAGCCAUCUUCACACGGCAGUGUAUGAUGCCUGCUUUGCUUUUGCCUAUAGUCUUUGCCUCCCAGCAUUACUUCCAGAUUUCCUCAUUUUGAUACAUUGGUUCUUAAAUUAAAUCUCCUCAGACACGGACUCCCAGUCUUCCCAGCUGAACUUUCACUGAUUUCUGCUCAUGUUUAUCAUUUUCAGCUACUGUUUAUGUUUCUACCCUGAAUACUGUUUUCCAUCUCUCCCAAUUUAAUACUAUCUGUAAAUGCCACUAAUGUGCUCUUUAUUUCCUCUUCCAGAUCUUUAACCAAGAUUUUAAAUUAAAGGUAGUCUUGGCACAGA
Molecule: long non-coding RNA, 1786 nt
Organism: Dromaius novaehollandiae (emu)
Lineage: Eukaryota; Metazoa; Chordata; Aves; Casuariiformes; Dromaiidae
Exons: 3
Source: RefSeq, a predicted model, not a curated record